RNAcentral lists this long non-coding RNA (619 nucleotides) under Trifolium pratense (red clover). RNAcentral describes it as "long non-coding RNA (TPRA_LNC010041)". Lineage: Eukaryota; Viridiplantae; Streptophyta; Magnoliopsida; Fabales; Fabaceae. The record is from RNAcentral.
AGUGGCAUCUUCAAAAAAAAAAAUGAUGAAAAAUAAGUUCUCUAAGUACCUAAUCAACAAUGAAUUGAGCCCCGGUUAUGGUAAUUUUUCAAUAAGGAAUAGUAGUUGAUAUCUAACUCCAAUUUAGCCUACUUUUCCAAAAUUUAUCCCACCAUUUAUCCGAGCCAAGUUACAACCUUUAAGACCUCAAAAAUGUGUGUCAUGUAUUUACUUUGAUUGACGGUUUAGAAUUUUUUCAAGCUUAUGGUAAAAUAACAUUUGCAUGUUGAUGGAGUGAAUACCCUGUCAAAAUUGAGUGAAUUAGUGAGUGAGAGAUAAGGUUGAACUUUGAACAUCGUGUGGAAUGAUCAUUGAACCGAAGCUGAUUGAAGUCUUGAAAACCAAAGGAUUGAUUGAACAGGAUCACUGAAGUUAAGACCGGUGGUUCUAUUGCCGGAUGAAGAGAAAAAGUUUUUGAGAUUUUUAUCAUUCAAAUUAAUUUGUUAAAUCACUGACAAUUUUGUUUUGACAGACAUGUUACUUGAGGACAAGCAACAGUUCAAGUUUGGGGUUGUGAUGACAUUCCAUCAUUUGAGUAUUUUUAAUUAUUAUUCUAUAGUAUUUUAGUUAGUUUUUAAGA